RNAcentral lists this long non-coding RNA (2207 nucleotides) under Podarcis lilfordi (Lilford's wall lizard). The record is from RNAcentral. Lineage: Eukaryota; Metazoa; Chordata; Lepidosauria; Squamata; Lacertidae.
CUGAAAACACUUCAACUCUUUUUUUACAUGUACUUUUCUCGCAGAGUCCCUUAACCAGAUCCUUUCGUAGCCAAGCUAACCAUAAACAAAUAUUUAGCAUCAUAAAGGAGAUGAUAUUCAUGGAAAGAUGAAAACCGUGGGUUUUUUAUGCAUCCGUUGUCGAUGAUGGAAUUUUUUCCUCUCAAUUCUAGAAGGUUUAAGGUUAUGUCGUACAGUUAAUAUGGUUUUAGUUUAGUAUCUUGAGCAAUUGUUUCAGAACUUCUUUCACUGUAAUUCUGCCUGUUUGUCCACCUAUUCCUGGGGUCCCCAAUAUGGCACCUGGACAUACCAUGAUGCCCUCAGAAACUCCCUUAGGUGCCUGCCAGUGACUUUUGACCCUCCCAAUUUUAUUUUUGUCUUUAAAAAAAAAGAGAUUGUGGUUUUUGCCUGUUUGAUGGGACAUUUCCUGGUUUUUUGGGGGUGGUCUCUGGGUUUUUGGUUUUGUUUUAGGGGCUAUUUGCCUGUUUAUUUUGGGGUGGGGUGGGGAGAUUCUGAUCAUUACCAGUUUUUCUUCUUUGAAAUUGUGUUUUGUGGUGUUCCCAACAAUUUCUUAAAUUUCCAAAUACGCUCCUGAGCCCCAAAAGUUGGACUUCCAAUCUCAUCUCCUUAUCUUAAACCACCAGGCUCAAUUUGACAACACUGCUGGCAUCCAAAAUCCAGAGCAAAAAUUCUUAAAAUGUUUCUGCACUCAGAGGUACAAUUUGUAUAAAAAUGCCAUCAUAAAAGCAUAAACAUAUUUUAAAACUAAAGAAAUGAGGGUUGUUGUACAGCCUGAAUUCCCCAGACAUGUCCAGGAUUUAAUUGGCAAAAAUAGCGUCCUGCAAAAUGUUCAGGAUUUUGAGGUUGACAACAGCUUUGUUUUUCCGGAAUUUUACUUCUAGAAAUAUGGCAGCCCUAAUAAAAUAUUAACCAUUGGAUGUUGGAUAAAGAAAGUCUGGCAAGUGGCUAACUGAUCAGGUUAAGGGUUGGGAAACAAUUAAGAUCCAUAUCUGAGGAAGCAUAGCUGCUUUCCGUUCUUUAGUUUUGGGGGAAUUAGAUAUAAGAUUAAGAUCAACUGCUUCUCUGUUAUAGGAUAUAGGUGUUGGCCUGGAAGGAUAUUACUAAUGUUUAUUACAUUUUUGCAUGUUUAUUUGAAUUCAUCUGGACUUUAUAUAAAACAUGAAUAUGUUUAGGUUAUUUUUAUAUUUUCAUACAAUGAAUCACACAUUUAUAUAUUGAUCAAAUUUAUUUUUUUAAAAAACCAGCAGAAGUAUUAACACCAUCGAAAUAAUUUUUAACAUGACAUCCUCUUCUUGUGUUUGAUAAACCACCACCAUUUAUGGUUUUGAAUGGGUGAGGCAUCUGCUGUUCCCAGUGCCUUUUUGUCCAACUCAUCUUUUUCUCUUGGCUUUUUAAGAGAGCCUGUGAUUGUUCAUUAAUGAGAUACUUUAGUCCAUUCAAGCAGACGAGCUCCCAGGCCUCUCCUUGCCUCUGACAUUAGUCAUCCAUUCAACAAUCCUUUCUUUCCCAGUCAAAUAGCACUGAUUGUAAGUGCAGAAUCUUUUUAAAAGGGAAAGGUGAGCUUCCUUCACUUCACUGAGGUUUAUCCUUCGAGAGAUUGCAGAAAACUCUUUGCCACUUCUAAAUGCCAAAAAAAGGCUAUUGUGUGCCAGACUCGCACACAAUUCAUUUCAGUCCAUUCAGAAUUCCUUGAGAGCAUAAAUUUGCUAAAGUUGCUCAUUGAUAACUUUCUUCAGACUCUUUUUUCCCCACCUAUCCAUUCAUCCUUUGUUCCGCUGCUUUUCCUACCCAGCUGAAAAUGACCAGAUCAUUACUCAUUCUUCUCUUUCUCGUUGGCAUGUGAUUCUGUCUCAGGGAGGAAAAUAUCUUAUUUUAUUGCUUUGGAGUAGGAUCUGCAGUAUCCCACCCACAAAUGGAGGCUCUGCUUUUCUUCCCAGAUUCAUAAACCUGAAGUGUGAGGUUUCAAGCGGAGCACAAAUUGAGAAGAACAGGUUGAUCCAUGCAAGUGAUGAGCUUUGGAAAGAGGCAGCUGAUGAAGGUGAGAUCCAGCAGGGUAGCAAGUGGGGAAGAAGGAAAACCCACACAAUACCAAUAUUCUGGUACCAUACAAGCGCAGAUCCAGCUAUUUGCACUCGGUCGUAACAGCUUUUAGGAGCGACAACAAGAGC